Molecule: long non-coding RNA, 376 nt
Filed under: Elaeis guineensis (African oil palm)
Lineage: Eukaryota; Viridiplantae; Streptophyta; Magnoliopsida; Arecales; Arecaceae
Description: long non-coding RNA (EGUI_LNC004699)
Source: RNAcentral
UCUAAUCUGAUGUUAUUCGGAAGUGAUGUUAUUCUGAUGGAUGGAAAGUAUGAUCCCUUAUCUAUUUAUAGAUGUGAAAGAGUGAGUAUAAUUAGAUGCUUAGGUAUCUUUUUGUUAGACACACCCCUUCACGUAAUCCAUCUAUUCAUUAAGAGUUGUAUCCCCUGCAAUCACCAUCAAAUUGGAUGUAUCUUUUCAUUAGAAUGCAUCUCUUCUUCAUUUACCGAGAGAAAGUGACUUUUUAAGAUAUCUCGUAGCAAAUAAUUAAAUUAAAAAAUGUGUCCAUAGAAUUUUAUAGAAUUUUAAAAGGAGGAGAGAGAAAUAAUGGUAAAUACUAAAUCUUAUCUAUUUAGAAAAUCAAGUUAUUUGGGAGUAU